Molecule: ribosomal RNA, 304 nt
Filed under: uncultured bacterium
Lineage: Bacteria
Description: partial 16S ribosomal RNA
Rfam family: Bacterial small subunit ribosomal RNA
Source: RNAcentral
CAGCAGUCGCCGCGGGAAUACGGAGGGUGCAAGCGUUAAUCGGAAUUACUGGGCGUAAAGCGUGCGUAGGUGGUGGUUUAAGUCCGUUGUGAAAGCCCUGGGCUCAACCUGGGAAUUGCAGUGGAUACUGGGUCACUAGAGUGUGGUAGAGGAUAGUGGAAUUUCCGGUGUAGCAGUGAAAUGCGUAGAGAUCGGAAGGAACAUCUGUGGCGAAGGCGACUAUCUGGGCCAACACUGACACUGAGGCACGAAAGCGUGGGGAGCAAACAGGAUUAGAUACCCCCGUAGUCCCUGUCUCUUAUAC